ACGCCAGGGCUUCAAAGGAACUGACAUUUUGCGUGCUUGCACGCAUAAAUGGCUGGACUUGGAAGCCGCCAAACAUGAGGAAGCAGUAAUUUUCGCAGAAAAUUUACGGAUUCCGAAUGUUUGCAGAAUCACGGGAAUUGCGAAGCAAUGGAGUGGUUCGU
This 161-nucleotide small RNA is filed under the name uncultured Blautia sp. RNAcentral describes it as "Clostridiales-1 RNA". It matches the Rfam family "Clostridiales-1 RNA". The record is from RNAcentral. Lineage: Bacteria; Bacillati; Bacillota; Clostridia; Lachnospirales; Lachnospiraceae.